UGGGGAAUUGUUCGCAAUGGGCGCAAGCCUGACGACGCAACGCCGCGUGGAGGAUGAAGGUCUUCGGAUCGUAAACUCCUGUUGCCCGGGACGAAUAGCUUCGACCUAACACGUCGGAGUAUGACGGUACCGGGUGAGGAAGCCCCGGCUAACUCUGUGCCAGCAGCCGCGGUAAUACAGAGGGGGCAAGCGUUGUUCGGAAUUACUGGGCGUAAAGGGCGCGUAGGCGGCCUGUUAAGUCGAACGUGAAAUCCCUGGGCUCAACCCAGGAACUGCGUCCGAUACUGGCUGGCUUGAAUCCGGGAGAGGGAUGCGGAAUUCCAGGUGUAGCGGUGAAAUGCGUAGAUAUCUGGAGGAACACCGGUGGCGAAGGCGGCAUCCUGGACCGGUAUUGACGCUGAGGCGCGAAAGCCAGGGGAGCAAACGGGAUUAGAUACCCAAGUAGUCCCUGAGCGGGCUGGCAAGGCGCAU
RNAcentral lists this ribosomal RNA (471 nucleotides) under uncultured bacterium. Its description in RNAcentral is "bacterial SSU rRNA". It matches the Rfam family "Bacterial small subunit ribosomal RNA", at positions 355 to 825 of the family's 1533-position model. The record is from RNAcentral.